GCCCAUUUCUCUUCCCCAAGUUGGCCUUUGAGCUCCCCAAGCAUCCAUAAGAGCUUUCACACAAGUUGGACGAAUUUAGGCCAAUCUAAACAAUUCUAUUCAGCCAUUUCAGCUCAACCAUCACCUCAUUAAUUCAAGGCUAUUAGAAGACAUCAAAUGGCUGUCCAUUGACGUCUCCAAAGCUGGGAAUCUUCAAGAAAGCUUCAAGGGACGUUCUAGGAAGCUACAUGAAAUUUUCAAUUCAUUUGCUUUGAAAAUAAG
This 261-nucleotide long non-coding RNA is filed under the name Gossypium barbadense (sea-island cotton). RNAcentral's name for it is "long non-coding RNA (GBAR_LNC021635)". The record is from RNAcentral. Lineage: Eukaryota; Viridiplantae; Streptophyta; Magnoliopsida; Malvales; Malvaceae.